This 71-nucleotide transfer RNA is filed under the name Pogona vitticeps (central bearded dragon). Its description in RNAcentral is "tRNA-Asx". It matches the Rfam family "tRNA". From Rfam's summary of the family: Transfer RNA (tRNA) molecules are approximately 80 nucleotides in length. Their secondary structure includes four short double-helical elements and three loops (D, anti-codon, and T loops). The record is from RNAcentral. Lineage: Eukaryota; Metazoa; Chordata; Lepidosauria; Squamata; Agamidae.
GGGGUUGAUGUCUGUGGUAGGCGUGUUAGCUGUUAACUAAUAUGGUGUGGGAUCGAGGCCCUCCAACCCCU